CUGGCGGCGUGCUUAACACAUGCAAGUCGAACGCGAAAGGGACUUCGGUCCUGAGUAAAGUGGCGCACGGGUGAGUAACGCGUAGAUAACCUGUCUUUAUGUCUGGAAUAAUACGCCGAAAGGGGUACUAAUACCGGAUAUUUUUGCAUUGCAUAAGCAGUGUAAGCAAAGGUGGCCUCUGACAUAAGCUACUGCAUAAAGAGGGGUCUGCGUACCAUUAGCUAGUAGGUGGGGUAAAGGCCUACCUAGGCUACGAUGGUUAGCGGGUCUGAGAGGAUGAUCCGCCACACUGGCACUGGAACACGGGCCAGACUCCUACGGGAGGCAGCAGUGAGGAAUAUUGCGCAAUGGGGGCAACCCUGACGCAGCGACGCCGCGUGAAGUGAGGAAGGCCUUCGGGUCGUAAAGCUCUGUCAAAGGGAAAGAAGUGCAUGGUGGUUAAUACCUGCCAUGUUUGACGGUACCCUUAAAGGAAGCACCGGCUAACUCCGUGCCAGCCGCCGC
Molecule: ribosomal RNA, 504 nt
Filed under: uncultured bacterium
Lineage: Bacteria
Description: bacterial SSU rRNA
Rfam family: Bacterial small subunit ribosomal RNA
Source: RNAcentral